GUUCAGAGCACCAGCCCUGAAGGCAUGUCCACCUCCUCCAAAACUUCUGCAGCUUCCUCCAGAGCACAGAAAAGGAAGAGAAAAGCUCCACCGGCCAUCUCUGUCACGCCACCCAUGGCACCACAUUCAGUAGACACCACCUGCUGUGCUCGCUGCGGAGAGCGUGAUCCGCCUGCAAGCUCCCCUCAGGAGUGUAGGUCCGUGGUGCCAUGGGUGUGCUGUGACUUCUGUCAGCAUUGGUUCCAC
Molecule: long non-coding RNA, 246 nt
Organism: Salvelinus namaycush (lake trout)
Lineage: Eukaryota; Metazoa; Chordata; Actinopteri; Salmoniformes; Salmonidae
Exons: 3
Source: RefSeq, a predicted model, not a curated record